CGCGGCCUAUCAGCUUGUUGGUGGGGUAGUGGCCUACCAAGGCGACGACGGGUAGCCGGCCUGAGAGGGUGACCGGCCACACUGGGACUGAGACACGGCCCAGACUCCUACGGGAGGCAGCAGUGGGGAAUAUUGCGCAAUGGGCGGAAGCCUGACGCAGCGACGCCGCGUGGGGGAUGACGGCCUUCGGGUUGUAAACCUCUUUCGGCAGGGACGAAGCGAAAGUGACGGUACCUGCAGAAGAAGCGCCGGCUAACUACGAGCCAGCAGCCGCGGUAAUACGUAGGGCGCAAGCGUUAUCCGGAAUUAUUGGGCGUAAAGAGCUCGUAGGCGGUUUGUCGCGUCUGCCGUGAAAGUCCGGGGCUCAACCCCGGAUCUGCGGUGGGUACGGGCAGACUAGAGUGAUGUAGGGGAGACUGGAAUUCCUGGUGUAGCGGUGAAAUGCGCAGAUAUCAGGAGGAACACCGAUGGCGAAGGCAGGUCUCUGGGCAUUAACUGACGCUGAGGAGCGAAAGCAUGGGGAGCGAACAGGAUUAGAUACCCUGGUAGUCCAUGCCGUAAACGUUGGGCACUAGGUGUGGGGGACAUUCCACGUUUUCCGCGCCGUAGCUAACGCAUUAAGUGCCCCGCCUGGGGAGUACGG
Molecule: ribosomal RNA, 643 nt
Filed under: uncultured bacterium
Lineage: Bacteria
Description: bacterial SSU rRNA
Rfam family: Bacterial small subunit ribosomal RNA
Source: RNAcentral